This 1219-nucleotide ribosomal RNA is filed under the name uncultured Rhizaria. RNAcentral's name for it is "SSU rRNA". It matches the Rfam family "Eukaryotic small subunit ribosomal RNA", at positions 577 to 1805 of the family's 1831-position model. The record is from RNAcentral.
CGGUAAUUCCAGCUCCAAUAGCGUAUACUAAAGUUGUUGCAGUUAAAAAGCUCGUAGUUGGAUUUCUGCGGGGACGGAGCGGCCGGUCGCAACUUGCGACUCGAGCUAGCGCCUUCCCCCGCAUCCUGCCGCGAACCGUGCUACCAUUAGCUUGGUGGCGCUGGGGAUCGGCUCGAUUACUUUGAGAAAAAUAGAGUGUUCAAAGCAGGCCACACGCCUUGAAUAAGUUAGCAUGGAAUAAUGACUAAGGACUUCGGUUCUAUUUUGUUGGUGUUCGGGACUGAAGUAAUGAUUGAUAGGGACAGUUGGGGCGGUCUGUAUUCCAAAGCGAGAGGUGAAAUUCUUAGACCUUCGGAAGACAAACAGCUGCGAAAGCGUUCCGCAAGGAUGUUCCCUUUGAUCAAGAACGAAAGUUGGGGGAUCGAAGACGAUCAGAUACCGUCGUAGUCUCAACUAUAAACUAUACCAGCUAGGGAUCGGUCAACGUUUAAUCAUUCGACUUGAUCGGCACCUUAUGAGAAAUCAAAGCAUCUGGGUUCCGGGGGGAGUAUGGUCGCAAGGCUGAAACUUAAAGGAAUUGACGGAAGGGCACCACCAGCCGUGGAGCCUGUGGCUUAAUUUGACUCAACACGGGAAAACUUACCAGGUCCAGACAUAGUAAGGAUUGACAGAUUGAUAGCUCUUUCUUGAUUCUGUGGGUGGUGGUGCAUGGCCGUUCUUAGUUGGUGGAGUGAUUUGUCUGGUUAAUUCCGUUAACGAACGAGACCCCAGCCUGCUAAAUAGCGCGGUUGAGCUUUGCUCGAUGCGAGCUUCUUAGAGGGACUAUGAUGCGCGAUAGCACAUGGAAGUUUGGGGCAAUAACAGGUCUGUGAUGCCUUUAGAUGUUCUGGGCCGCACACGGGCUACACUGGCGCCUGCAACGAGCAUAUCAGCUGGCCCGAGAGGGUCUUGGCUAAUCUUUUGAACCGGCGCCGUGCUUGGGAUUGACCAUUGCAAUUGUUGGUCAUGCAACGAGGAAUGCCUUGUAAACGCGAGUCAUCAGCUCGCAUUGAAUACGUCCCUGCCCUUUGUACACACCGCCCGUCGCUCCUACCGAUGAAUGUUCCGAUGAAAUUUUCGGAGAGCGCCAGAGAACGGGGCUCUGCCUUGCAGAUCUGGAGGCUCAAAGUCACUUAAAUCUAAACAUUUCGAGGAAGGAGAAGUCGUAACAAGGUAGCCG